UGCAGUCGAGCGGAUGAAGGGAGCUUGCUCCUGGAUUCAGCGGCGGACGGGUGAGUAAUGCCUAGGAAUCUGCCUGGUAGUGGGGGAUAACGUCCGGAAACGGGCGCUAAUACCGCAUACGUCCUGAGGGAGAAAGUGGGGGAUCUUCGGACCUCACGCUAUCAGAUGAGCCUAAGUCGGAUUAGCUAGUUGGUGGGGUAAAGGCCUACCAAGGCGACGAUCCGUAACUGGUCUGAGAGGAUGAUCAGUCACACUGGAACUGAAACACGGACCAGACUCCUACGGGAGGCAGCAGUGGGGAAUAUUGGACAAUGGGCGAAAGCCUGAUCCAGCCAUGCCGCGUGUGUGAGGAAGGUCUUCGGAUUGUAAAGCACUUUAAGUUGGGAGGAAGGGCAGUAAGUUAAUACCUUGCUGUUUUGACGUUACCAACAGAAUAAGCACCGGCUAACUUCGUGCCAGCACCCGCGGCAAUACGAAGGGUGCAAGCGUUAAUCGGAAUUACUGGGCGUAAAGCGCGCGUAGGUGGUUCAGCAAGUUGGAUGUGAAAUCCCCGGGCUCAACCUGGGAACUGCAUCCAAAACUACUGAUGUAGAGUACGGUAGAGGGUGGUGGAAUUUCCUGUGUAGCGGUGAAAUGCAUAGAUAUAGGAAGGAACACCAGUGGCGAAGGCGACCGCCUGGACUGAUACUGACACUGAGGUGCGAAAGCGUGGGGAGCAGACAGGAUUAGAUACCCUGAUAGUCCACGCUCG
This 751-nucleotide ribosomal RNA is filed under the name Pseudomonas aeruginosa. RNAcentral's name for it is "bacterial SSU rRNA". It matches the Rfam family "Bacterial small subunit ribosomal RNA", at positions 56 to 803 of the family's 1533-position model. Lineage: Bacteria; Pseudomonadati; Pseudomonadota; Gammaproteobacteria; Pseudomonadales; Pseudomonadaceae. The record is from RNAcentral.